RNAcentral lists this long non-coding RNA (729 nucleotides) under Homo sapiens (human). RNAcentral describes it as "HSALNT0321759". The record is from RNAcentral. Lineage: Eukaryota; Metazoa; Chordata; Mammalia; Primates; Hominidae.
CCAUUCUCUGUAUUUAACCCAGCGAACUACAUAUCGGAAACUAAAAUUUAUUGGAGAGAUUCUCAGAACCAUACUAGAAACAUUACCGAGGUCUCAUCUAGUUUUCUCUACUGCCUUCCAAGAGUCUUGCUCUGUUGCCCAGGCUGGAGUGACGUGGCAUGAUCUUGGCUCCACUGCAACAUCCACCUCCCAGGUUCAAGUGAUUCUCCUGCCUCAGCUUCCCAAGUUUCUACUGUACAAUUUCUCAUUGAAAACUGCCUCAGCAUUUUUUAAGAAGACAUCACUUCCCCCUUGGGGAAGAAAGAACUCAAUGACUUGAAGAAACUGAUGCUUCAGGUACCUUGAAAAAUUCAGCUGGUUUUGAUGAGAAACAGUCAAUGGGGCUGUUAGGGGUCCUGGCGGAUGCUUAGGCAGUGGCUGUCCUGGAUUCCAGGGAAUGCCCCAAACCCAGUGAUGCAGGACCCAGGACUCCAUCUGCUCAUUCUUCAUAAGGUUGGCUCACAGGUCAUCUGCUGAGAAGGUCAUCUUCUCCGUCUUCACUGGGCUCACUGAAUGAGGACAUUCCAAGAUCCCAGCUCAUCUCAUUUGAGCUUUCCUUUUCCUAAUCCCAUGCAUCUGUGUUUGAGAAAAUCUUCCCAAGUGAUAGAUCUUCUAUUUUCCGAUUUCUUCCAUGUUGUAUUACUUUUUUUAUUAAUAAUAAUAAAUACACAUAUUUUUGGUGUGUACAUG